Molecule: long non-coding RNA, 2376 nt
Organism: Bos taurus (domestic cattle)
Lineage: Eukaryota; Metazoa; Chordata; Mammalia; Artiodactyla; Bovidae
Source: Ensembl
CUGGGUUUCUGACUGCCCCACCCCAGAGCCAGAUGGAGGCCCGCCUCACUGGCCCAGUUCACCUGGAGAAUGAGGCAAGGCUGAGAGAGUGGCUGCGGGGGAGGGCAUGGAGAGGGCGGUUUCCCCGGGAACUCGGGUCAGAUCUCUUCCACAUGAGCUGGGGGACCCGGGGAGGGUCAGCUCGCCCCUCUGAGCACAGGCUGAUUUUCCCGGAAGCCAAGGGAGCGUAGGCUCGCAGAGCCCCCCGAGAAUCCGAGAGGGAGUUCACCAGGGGGUCCACCCAGCUGGCGUGUGUUGGGCCAUUUACAGAAGUAAGAUGCUUUGGUCUUCUUAGAGUCUCUCCAAAUUGCGUAGGCUUUGGGCUCGCCUAGAAUUGCAAGAGCCAUCACAGGGUGCUGCGGGGAUGGAAGGGGCAGAUGUAGAUCAAGCUGCAGCCCAGAGCCCGGCCACCAAGCGCUCAGGGAGAGAGCGCCUCCGCGUCCUCACCCGUGAGAGGGCCGUGGGGCCGCGGCUCCCUCCUGACGCCGUGCAAGCGUCCGAUGGGUGAAUACAGACGAAGCGCCCAGCUCAGCCCCUGGAGCAGGGCAAGUGCUCUGCACGCCUGGCCAGGCGUGACCCGCCGACGAGCAACCGUGGGACCCAGCGAGUGUGUGAGCAAGCGAGCAGGCCAGCUCGCGAGGGACACGUGAUGCGUGUGGAACCCUGUUCCCCGGAAACGCACAAAGACGCUGAGACCCCCUUUCGCCAAGCCAGUCUAAGAACCGGCCUGCCAAGGGGCAGGGGGCUGGGCUCAGCGACCCAGAUUUCCUGUAGGUCAGGACAAGAGCGACAGAAAAGCCUGGACCUUUGGCCAGUGGUUUCUGGGAAGACACCUGGAUCAGAGGAGGCUGGAAGGCUAGAACAGGAGGAGGGCUGGGGGCCGGAGUUUCAUCCAGGGCAACCCCGCUCCUGUACUCCCGGUUCUACCAGCAAUCAUGAAUGACAUUUUCAUGGAGGACUUCCUGGAGGAGGCGACUUUUGAGGGAGGGAAGUGACAGGGAAGGGCAGAAAGAAGUGCAAGCCAGGAGACACGGGACGCCCGAGUGUCAUCAGCGUCGCUGUGGACAUUAGGCCCCGUGCUGGGUCGUCAACAGUCCUGGCGAUGCCCUUUGCAGCCAAAGCACCCAGUUCACAGACCUGAGUCGUCAGUUUUCUCAUUCUGGACGAGUUACUCACGCUCCCUUUCACAGCCCUGACAUCGUUCAAGAUUUCAGGUCAGCUGGUUUGUAGAGUUUGGGUUUGGCUGCUGUUUGCUCACGGCUGGGUGCAUCUGUGCCAGGCCUCUCCCAGGUGGCACCUGCUUGGUUUUGAAUUUGUUCCAUCAUGACACGUCCCCGUGUCAGCUGGGGUCCCUUGAUGGAGGUGGUAUCUGCCUGGUUUCCACCAUCGAGCGAGUCUUCCCCACUUUGUGAUUAAGGAGUAUUUUGUGAGGAGACGCUGUGAGACUGGGUCCUUAUCACCAAAGUGUCCAAUUAUUCACUUAUUUAUAGCAGGGUGGACUCAUGUUUCCUAUUGCAUUCAGCCGUUUGGCCUAAUCCAUGCUUAUGCUAAUGCUCAAAUUGCCCCAGAGCUGGCCAGCGGUUACCCCUCGAGUGGGUCCCAGGGCAUUUGGGCACAUGGCCACCGUUGUUUGAGUGGUUCCUUCACUGCUGGCACCACAAGCUGUUGCGGCUUCAUCUCGUACUUUCCUCACCUGGAAUCAGCCAUGUCGCUAAGGAAUCCGGGUUCCUUUAGUGGAGAGUGGUACACGGACGCCAGCUUGUGGGUGCGAACGUGCUCAUCGCAACUGAGCAGCAGAGCGGGGGGCAGGGGCAGGAAACACCUCUAUUUACACACACAGGUACGCUGCAGGGUAGGCGCAUAACGCACACUUCCGCAUCUGUAGCUCUAGCUCUCUCUCAUACUGAAAGCUGUGUGUACCCACCGAUCCCUCAACUCCCAGCGCGAUGCCCCAGGAUUCGUUUUCACGUUCUCCCUUUCCAUGUCUGUACUCCCUUCUCUGCUGUGCAAGCCUGGGCUUCCCUGAUCCUGAGCACAUCUGCCAGGUCGCUGAACCACCUUGUGUGUGGGCCGUCUCCCACUCCCCCACCCCCCACGGGAUGCCCUCCUCGGCCCCUCACUCGCCCGACUCCGGCGCCCCUCGCCUGGCCACCUUCUACAUUCUGGGGGGCUCUGACAGCCCACUGCCCCCUCGCGGAUGACCGUGUUGCCCUCUUGGGCUCUGGUACCCACACGAGGCCACCCUUCCGGGGGGCAGCCUUACACCCUUGCCCAGCUCUGACUGUCCGUCCUCUGGGACACUGCUGCCCCGUGGACACUCACCUCACCCAAGGAGGC